AUCAUGCGGUCCAAAGUUAACUGG
This 24-nucleotide non-coding RNA is filed under the name Arabidopsis thaliana (thale cress). The record is from RNAcentral. Lineage: Eukaryota; Viridiplantae; Streptophyta; Magnoliopsida; Brassicales; Brassicaceae.